GAGGGUAUAGCUCAAGUGGUAGAGUGCAUGCUUAGCAUGCACAAGGUCUUGGGUUCUAUCCCCAGUACCUCCU
Molecule: transfer RNA, 73 nt
Filed under: Camelus bactrianus (Bactrian camel)
Lineage: Eukaryota; Metazoa; Chordata; Mammalia; Artiodactyla; Camelidae
Also listed under: 1 other name
Rfam family: tRNA
About the family: Transfer RNA (tRNA) molecules are approximately 80 nucleotides in length. Their secondary structure includes four short double-helical elements and three loops (D, anti-codon, and T loops).
Source: Rfam by way of RNAcentral